AUCCAGCUGACGAGUCCCAAAUAGGACGAAACGUAUGCCCUAGAU
Schistosoma curassoni is the source of this 45-nucleotide non-coding RNA. The record is from Rfam. NCBI's taxonomy places the organism in Eukaryota, Metazoa, Platyhelminthes, Trematoda, Strigeidida, Schistosomatidae.